This 74-nucleotide transfer RNA is filed under the name Candidatus Omnitrophota bacterium. RNAcentral's name for it is "Candidatus Omnitrophica bacterium tRNA-Pro". It matches the Rfam family "tRNA". Rfam says of the family: Transfer RNA (tRNA) molecules are approximately 80 nucleotides in length. Their secondary structure includes four short double-helical elements and three loops (D, anti-codon, and T loops). Lineage: Bacteria; Pseudomonadati; Candidatus Omnitrophota. The record is from RNAcentral.
CGGGACGUGGCGCAGUUUGGCAGCGCACUUGAAUGGGGUUCAAGGGGUCGCCGGUUCGAGUCCGGCCGUCCCGA